This 306-nucleotide ribosomal RNA is filed under the name Veillonella parvula. RNAcentral describes it as "bacterial SSU rRNA". It matches the Rfam family "Bacterial small subunit ribosomal RNA", at positions 28 to 311 of the family's 1533-position model. Lineage: Bacteria; Bacillati; Bacillota; Negativicutes; Veillonellales; Veillonellaceae. The record is from RNAcentral.
GACGAACGCUGGCGGCGUGCUUAACACAUGCAAGUCGAACGAAGAGCGAUGGAAGCUUGCUUCUAUCAAUCUUAGUGGCGAACGGGUGAGUAACGCGUAAUCAACCUGCCCUUCAGAGGGGGACAACAGUUGGAAACGACUGCUAAUACCGCAUACGAUCUAAUCUCGGCAUCGAGGAUAGAUGAAAGGUGGCCUCUACAUGUAAGCUAUCACUGAAGGAGGGGAUUGCGUCUGAUUAGCUAGUUGGAGGGGUAACGGCCCACCAAGGCGAUGAUCAGUAGCCGGUCUGAGAGGAUGAACGGCCAC